CAAAUCUGUGGCUGGAGUUUAUGAGUAACCGUGGGUAAAGGUCACAUUAUAGGUAUAAAUUCAGGAGGACCCUGGAAUAAGCAAACGGUUGAACAGCCACAGGGAUCAGAAAAAUGAAGUUGUUUGUCAUUUGUCUGGUUGCUUUACUCUUCAUAAAUAACAGUGAGGCUUUGUGGUGUUAUGCAUGUUUUGGAAAAAAUUGUUCAGCUAGACGAGAGGAAUGUGGCUCACGUUUGAUAAACCCUGUCUGUGCCACCGUAGAUGCCCCCACAUUUUAUGUGAAAGGAUGCAUGAGUGAGUACAUCUGUAGGGGGCAACAGAAGGCUCCGGGUACCACUGCUACCUGCUGCGAUUAUAGCUACUGCAACUAAUAAGAAGAUACAGCAGCCACAGCGAUGUCUCUAUAUAAUCAUCACUUACCAGAAGUUAAAAACCAGCACUCUUUUAUUUUUCCGGCAUAUAAUAUAGAAUUUGUCUGUAAUUAAUGAUUUGUUCUGUUAAAUAAUUGUAUCUGAAUUAAAUAAAAUAAUUAACAACAGCCUUUAUGAAUAGUUUUUUGUAGCCCUGUGAUAAUCAGAGUUUGAUAAGGCAUUCAAUAAGAUAUGUCUUUAUCUAUACAGAUUUUGUAUAUACUGUCCAUUUGUGUUCAUUAGUGAUCAUGUUACUUGUGGUAUUGGUUUUCACAGAAAAAGAAAACUAAAGGUAGUUUUAUUGAAGACUUACCUAGACAAAUGAACACUUAUAAAAUAGAGUUAGCAUCAGAGAUUGGAUACAUUAAUAAGCUGUUGACAGACCAGAUUCAAAGGCUAUUCUAAGGGAAGUGGGCAUAUAUUUAUAAAUACACCCUUCAGUGUCACACAAAUGAGGAUGAGGUUCCCGUUUGAGUCUGGUUCCUCUCAAGAUUUCUUCCUCUUCCAUUUAAGGGAGUUUUUCCUCACCACAGUUGCCUCAGUCACCUCAGACUUGUUCAUUGGGUAUAAAUACAAACACAUUUACAAAUAAGUCUAAUAUUAAUCUUGAACUUUUGUAUUAAAUUUGUAUUAUGUUUUUAUGCUCCGUAAAGCUGCUUUGAGACAAUGUCUAGUGUUAAAAUGCGCUAUACAAAUAAAUUUGAAUUGAAUAUUAGGAUUAUGUUUCAUUGUCAAAUCUAUUGAUAUGUUAAAAGUAAAAAAAAACAGAAUUUCUUAAACUGGUCAUGGAAAUAUUGUUUCUUUGUGCUCAUGCAGUACAGUAGGGUACGUUCGCUUUAACCUCUUACUUAAAUUGGUGUUCCAUAAUUAAGAGUGAAUGAACUGAUGAACUCCACAGACAUUUCCAGAAAUCUAGAAAUACUAAUCAUCUCUUUACUAGUUUAUUUAAAGAACUUCAUCAGUGAAGGAUUUCCCACCAAAUUCCACUUGCAGAUUUUUACAUCUUGAGUUUUACUUGCAAUUUUAUUCAAUAAGCCACUAAUAUGAGAAGACACUAAGACUAAGUUUUCUCAUUAGAUUACUUUUUAUUUUUUCCUUUUUAAAAAAAAAAAGAACAACAUCUAUUGAAUGAAAGAAAACAAAAUGUACAAUUUGUUUGGAAAUUCCUUUAGACAUCCUUAACAAUGCGAUGAAAUUUUACCCGGUACCUGGAACACUUCAUAAUAGGAGGGUGAAAGAUUGUUUCUCCCUUUGUUGGAACAGAAUAAUAAGCCUGAAAAGAUUUUAUAGACAGGUAUAAUGGGGUGUAAUGUAGCUGGUAGAACAGCACAAACAAUACUGUAAAAAUUUAAUUCGCUGGGGCUUAUGUGUAAUCUUGGAUAAAAAUCAAAAUGUUGAUAUAAAUUCAGGGGGACACUGGAUUAAGCAAAAAAAGUGGAACACCCAGUAGGUGAGUCAACAAGACACAGAUGAAACUAAUUUUUUUUAAACAAUUUUCGUAAUAAUAAUGAUGCAUUGUCUUGUAUGUGCUAUCAUUUAUAUUAGAAAUAUGAAACUUUGUUAAUAUUAAUAAAAAUACUUUUAUGAGUUUCCUGAUUUAAAGUUAACCUUCUUUCUUUUUUAGGUAUCAGAAAAAUGAAGUUGUUUGUCAUUUGUCUGGUUGCUUUACUCUUCAUAAAUUACAGUGAGGCUUUGUGGUGUUAUGCGUGUGCUAAAAAAGGCUGUUCAGGUAGACAAGAGGAAUGUGGCUCUUCUUUGAAAAUUCCUGUGUGUGCCGUCAUAGACUCCCCCCAAUCUUAUAUGA
Long non-coding RNA from Tachysurus fulvidraco (yellow catfish), 2214 nucleotides. RefSeq lists it as uncharacterized. The transcript is spliced from 6 exons. The record is from RefSeq and is a predicted model, not a curated record. NCBI's taxonomy places the organism in Eukaryota, Metazoa, Chordata, Actinopteri, Siluriformes, Bagridae.